CAAAGUUUUAAUUAACAAUGUCGUACCUUUUGCAUAAUGGGUCAGCAACUUAAUAACGCAGGCGAGAUUAAAAGUCCGAGCGAAAGCGACUAUCGAUUUAUAGAUGGGUUAAGUCUGUGUUAUUAGACCCGAAACGACGUGAUCUAGCCAUGGGCAGGGAUAUAGGCCCGAACAGGUGUACGUUGCAUAGUACUCUGAUGACCUGUGGUUAGGAGUGAAAUGCUAAUCUAACGUCGUGAUAGCUGGUUCUCUGCGAAAUGCAUUGCAGUGCAGCGUCAAUGAAUAAACUUAUGGUAGGUACAGCACUGAUUGACAUGUCUUAACCGACCGACUAGGGGGAUGUGUAAGUCCUAUCUAGGUCAGUUAACCUCGGAAUGAUCAUAAGCAGUAAUUGGCAGUGAGUCGUAGGGUGAUAAGGUCUUAUGACGAGAGGGAAACAGCCCAAACAAUGUGUUAAAGUCCCAAAGAUAUUAGCAAGUGAAAUUAAGGAAGUGUAUUGCCUGAUACAGCCAUGAUGUGGGAUUGGAAGCGUCCAUCAUUUAAAGAAAGCGUAACAGCUCAGUGGUCUAGGCCGUAUGCGCCGAAGAUAUACCGGGUCUUAACUAAUACACUAAUACCAUUGUAUAACAUCAAUCAACCUGAUUGAUAUUAAUAAGUAGCAGAGCGUCCAGUACUGAUGAAGAGCAGUAUUUUAUUGUUUGGAGGUAACUGGAGUGAGGAUGCUGGCAUGAGUAACAAGAAUGAAUGUUAAAUCAUUCACACCGAAAGAGAAAGGUUUCUGAGGGCAAGUUAGACUGCCUCAGGUUAUAAUCCAUAUUCGUAUGGAACACUUAGUUUCUAAGUGUAAGCGGUAUCUAAGGGGUUAGCCAAUGCGACACCUCGAUGAUUAUAUUGCAGAACGGCCCUUUACGGGGUCCAGGAAAAUAAUGCAAUCAUAGCUACCGUACCUUAAACCGACACAGGUUCUCGGGUAGAGUAUACUAAGGUGACGGAAUAAUCAAAUUUAAGGAACUCGGCAAAAUGAUCUCGUACGUUCGACAAGAAGAGAUGCCCUUACUAGGUAAGGGUGGCACAGAAUCGGAGGGUGCGACUGUUUACCCAAAACACAGCAGCCUGCUAACACUAACAGUGGUCGUAUAGGUUGUGAUUCCUGUCCGGUGCUUCGUGAUAUAGUGAUUGGUAGUGUAUUUUUAAUAUGCUAUCGAAGCUUGAAGACGAAGUAAACGACGGUCUUAACUAUAAGGAUCCUAAGGUAGCGAAAUUCCUUGGCCAAUAAUUACGGUCCUGCAUGAAUGGAACAGCGAUGCCCUCACUGUCUUAAAUUUGAGUCCGGUGAAAUUGAAUUAGCCGUGCAGAUGCGGUUUACUUCCAGUUAGACGGGAAGACCCUAUGCAACUUUACUAUAGCCAGAUAUUGUGUUAGUUUACCGUUUGUCACAGGUAUGAGGUAGUCGAUAUGACGCAAGUGAGAGACCUCAACAAACCGUAGACGCACUAACCUACUAAAAUUAGGGAACGUGUCUGGUGGGUAGUUUUACUGGGACGGUACCCUCCAAGAAAGCAUCGGAGGGGUCCAAUAGGUACACAUAGCUUAGACGGGGACUAAGUGAUCAUGAAAGAUCAAAAACAGCAUAAUGGCAUAAGUGUGCUAAACUGAGAGACUGACAGGUCAAUCAGGUACGUAAGUAGGGCAUAGUGAACCGAUAGUAUGUUAUGGUACAGCUAUCGUUCAACGGAUAAGUUACGCUAGGGAUAACAGGCUAAUAGCGCGAAAGAGUUCAUAUCGUAAGCGCUGUUUGGCACCUCGAUGUCGACUCAUCACAUCCUCCUGGUGCACAAGCUGGGAAGGGUUCGACUGUUCGUCGAUUAAAGUGGUACGUGAGUU
This 1884-nucleotide ribosomal RNA is filed under the name Haliotis tuberculata (green ormer). Its description in RNAcentral is "bacterial LSU rRNA". It matches the Rfam family "Bacterial large subunit ribosomal RNA", at positions 575 to 2606 of the family's 2925-position model. The record is from RNAcentral. Lineage: Eukaryota; Metazoa; Mollusca; Gastropoda; Lepetellida; Haliotidae.